This 327-nucleotide small RNA is filed under the name Arabidopsis thaliana (thale cress). RNAcentral describes it as "ATSL023130". Lineage: Eukaryota; Viridiplantae; Streptophyta; Magnoliopsida; Brassicales; Brassicaceae. The record is from RNAcentral.
AUUUAUAUUAUAAACCAUUGUACAGAUAUAGAACACUGUACAAAUAUAGAGCACAAUACAGAUAUAGACCACUGUAUAGUUAUAAAGCAUUGUACAUAUGCAUUUUAUCAUUUAAUAUGCAUUUUUAUAUAUUCGCACAGUUGUCUACAUCUUCUGUACAACCUCAAGAGUAUCUUGUAAACGAGAUCAUUCGGAAUCGAAUUCAUUAUUACCAGUAUGUGAAAACUCCUAGGGGAGGUGGAUUUUUAAAUUAAACCUAGUCAAGCCCAAUAAGCAUACUGGGCUUUUUACCAUCAAAAUUUAUAUUAACUUUUUACUUUUUUUUCC